UUGUUGCUGGUCGUCAAACGGGGGCACGKGSACGCUCUGUUCACACAUCCACUCACRSSKGKGCACCCACUGUAKUUCKGKGGSSKGGGGGACCUGYCCCCCUUGCUGUGGUUCUAUGUCUUUACACACACACCGUAACAAAGUCUYAUGGAAUGUAUACCGCGUCUAACGCAUUACAAUACAACUUUCAGCAACGGAUCUCUUGGCUCUCGCAUCGAUGAARAACGCAGCGAAAUGCGAUAAGUAAUGUGAAUUGCANAAUUCAGUGAAUCAUCGAAUCUUUGAACGCACCUUGCGCCCUUUGGYUAUUCUGAAGGGCAUGCCUGUUUGAGUAUCAUGAACACCUCAACUCUCGCGGUUUGCCGUGAUGAGCUUGGACUUUGGGGGUCUUGCUGGCCUAUGGUCGGCUCCUCUCAAAUGGAUCAGCUUGCCAGUGUUUGGUGGCAUCGCAGGUGUGAUAACUAUCUACGCUUGUGGUCUCCCACCAGGNAACCCUCAGCGAUGGGGGUUCGCUGGAGCUCAUAAAUGUCUCUCCUCAGUGAGGACAGCUUUUGAACGUUUGAUCUCAAAUCAGGAAGGACUACCCGCUGAACUUAAGCAUAUCAAUAAGCGGAGGA
Molecule: ribosomal RNA, 617 nt
Filed under: uncultured Tomentella
Lineage: Eukaryota; Fungi; Basidiomycota; Agaricomycetes; Thelephorales; Thelephoraceae
Description: eukaryotic LSU rRNA
Rfam family: 5.8S ribosomal RNA (bases 183-337)
Source: RNAcentral